This is a non-coding RNA of Paramuricea clavata, 212 nucleotides long. Lineage: Eukaryota; Metazoa; Cnidaria; Anthozoa; Malacalcyonacea; Plexauridae. The record is from the annotation of a GenBank genome assembly.
AGCGAACACAAGGCCAUCGACAAGCCCUGAGUGUGCUACGGAUCAACAAAAUUGUGGUAAAUCCCACGUCUCUGUAAAGUAGUAUGCUAUGCAGUCAGGUCUAUAACUUUUUAAAGUUUUAUGUUUAAGACCAGAAAAUAUCUGGACAAGGGGGUCUUCAAGAACUGUGAAAUAGAUUUGUUUCAAAGUCAAACUAUCAAUGUCCGUCAUGG